UUCAAGCUUCUUGAAAACUAAACAAUAUGAGUAUUUGAUACUUGAGUUUGUUUUGAAUUUUUGAGUUGUUUUUUUUAAAGCUAUUUAAAAAUUGAAAACUGAAAAUUAUCAAUCUUUGAUGUUUGCAUUUGAUCUGGAUUUCUGAAAUUUCUUUCUCAAUUGAAAUUUUAACUUUCUUUUACUAUUUUUUGGUUUUGUUUUUCCUUUGUUCUUUUUAGUUUUUACCCGCAAAAUGUCUUUCUUUGCUUUUAUAACAACAAAGAAGAUAGAAAACAGAAAGAGGGAAAAAAUCUGUAUAUUUAAAUUUCUUGUUUUUUUCGUUUUUUUCUUUUACAUUUUAUGCAAUUUCUGCACAAAACAAUCUGUAAGUUUAAAUUUCUUAUGCAAAGUUUUCCCUUCUCUUUAAUUAGAAAGUUUACUAAUUGGCUAGUAAUAGUAUCCUUUUUUUUAUGAAUUACUUAUUUAUUUGGUUGCUUGUGUGGAAUUUUUUAGGCAUUCACAAAAGGUUUUUCUUGUUUUUGUUCUUCAAGUGUGGGGAUGAUGUUGGGUUUCAUUUCAAGUGGUUAAUUAUCUUUUUCUCUUUUGAUGGAGAAUAGAUUAAGGCCAGCCAAAUUUUCCUUCUUGAUGGUUGUUUACAGCUUUGAUUGGUUUCUUGAUUUCAAUGAAACUAAAAUUUGAAGCUAAUUUUAUAUUGUUUAGCAUCAUAUUAUUUUAGCUUUUUUAAGGAGGAAGAUAAAGGGGGUAAGGUCAUUUUUAGAUAUAAAGAGAGACAAAAGAUGGCAAAAGAGAAUUAUGGAUUAGAAGAACCAAUUUUUCUCAUACAGUUUAUCAUAGGCUGGAUCUGAGGGACUUGUGAUAAUGGUUAUUUAUGUUAAAAUGAAAAUGAUACAGAUUCAUGUGUUGGAAGAGUGGAGGGAUUUUGGCUUUGUAAGGAUUGUCUGGUUGCUAGAAUGAUAUUUCUCAUUUUGGAUGUCCUUUUAAUAAGAUCUUUCAUUUUUAUUUAUAUAAUAAGAUCUAUUUUAACUUUAUAAUCAUUUGCUCUUUCCAUUCAUUUAAUUAUUUACUUCAACUUUCAAAACAAACAUUGCAUUUAUAGCAUGCCUUUAUGAAGUGAUAUUAACCUUUUCUAUGUUUCUUUGCCAAUUUCAUAUAGUGGAAUCACACAUCCCACAUUGUCAGAGAACUGAUAUCAUUUGCUUAAAAAAUCAGCCCACACCAAGAAAAUAUCUACAUGAUCCAAGUACACCAACAAAAGAACCACUUUAAUAAUUAGGGUUUUAGUUCUGCUAUCGUUUUUAGUUUGUUGUGCUUUCUGCACCACCAAAUGUAUAUGACUUCUGUUAUUAAAUUAUUCUUUCUUUCAGUGACCAACUUGGUUAUGGCUUCAUAAUAGGCUUAAGACUUUAUCCUUUGCAGUCUGGAGGGAUUAAUAACUUGUGUAGUUUUUCUCUCAAUAUAUUUAGCCUUCGUGUCAAUGUCGUAUUUUGUAUUGCUUUUUUAGUUGUUCUUUCUGUGUUAUGUUUGUGUCAUACAAUCGUAUUGUAUCAAACAUUACCAAGUAUAGCAUCUAAUAGUUGCAUAAGCAGUGUCUGUGUAUGUUUAUUAUACAAAAUUGGCCUUAAGUUGUUGAUUAUUUGUUAAUUAUUCAUGCCAAUAUAAAGUUGAUUUGGCAAAGGCAAUCUUGAUGGCUCGUUGCUAUGCACAAGCUAAUAAUGUUUCUUAUUUUUAUCCAUCUAAUGUAUGUAAAAAGAAUCAAUUCUUCUUUUUAAUCUUUUUAAUGGUGCAAGAUUCUAGUUGAAACUCACAUAACUAAACAAGCUGUUGCAGAUACAGAGUUUGAAUGGAGAUGCAUGGAAGAACAAGUAUCUACUUCAACAAGCAGUUGCCCGCUCGAUAAUUUUAAAAAACAACAAGAAAACAAGUUUCCAACAAAAGGUUGUUCUGGUCUAAGCUAAUAAAGGAGGACUCAAUAUUGUCAGCUUGGCUUUUGAAUUUACUUCUUCAAGACAGACCAGAAAAAUUGAGCUAACGUCGUACCGAAAUCCUUAACUAAAAAGGGGAAAGAUAAAGUCGACCGGGAAUAGCUCAGAAUUUCUAGUUUGUAUUUCUAUAAUCCGAACUUAGUUGUUAAUUUGUUAUAAUUCAAUUUAAUGCAUAUGAUAAGUGUUGAGGUGAGUAUUUGAUACUUUGAUAUUGAAUUGAAUUAAAGUUGAUUGAAUGGAUUGAAGUGAUAUAUUAUGAAUGUAUUGAUUAUUUGAAUUGAAAUGAAUAUAUAUAUGAGUAAAUGUGCUAAUGUGAAAUUUGGAUAUUUGUUUUAUAUGGAAAGUGAAUUGAAACCCUAUUAAAUGUAUCAGGCUGAGUCGAAUAUAGAUGGCAUGCGAUAGGAUUAGAAGAGUUUAGGGAUUUCUUCGACUUCGAGUCGAUGAGGCACUGGGUGUCAAUUUACUUUGGUUUAACGAUGAGACACUGGGUGUUAAUUUACUACUUCUGAUUUAUUCAAUGAGAUACUGGGUGUCAAUUUACUACUUCGAAUUAUCCGAUAAAGCAUUGGGUGCCAAACUGGUGUGUUGGUUGGAUCCGUGUAUCUGUCCGAGUCCGAGUCGUGUUAAUAGGGGUAAUUAAUUGAAAUGGAACUAUGGUUGAUAUCAGAUGAUUUGUAUGUGAAAUGAAAAUGGGAUAAUGAAUUGAAAUAUGGAUUGAGACACAUGAAUUAUGUAUUCAUGAAUUGGAUAUAGAAUGAACAAUAUUGUUGUUUAAAUGAUAUUCAUGAAUUGGAUAUAGAAUGAACAAUAUUGUUGUUUAAAUGAUAUGUGUAUCAUAUUGUGAAAAGCUAUUAUAUAGCAAAUGAUGAGAAUUGAGUAUGGUAUGAAUGAUGUAUUUAUGAAUUGAAUAUUGAAUGACUAAUGUCAUUGUAUGAAUAAAUGUGGUUUUUAAUAUUCAAUUGUGCUUAUAAUUAAAAUGUGCAUAUUAUAUUAUCUUGUCUUUAAAUAUUCAGAUUAUAGAAAUACCACUGAGUUUUACUCAGUGUACGAUUUUGUUUUCCGUGCGCAGGUUAAUUACUUAAUUUUGAUCGGCGAUUUAGCAUCCAACAACGAUGUUUAUCUUUUGUGUUGGCAUGUACCUAGGGUGUCUAAAUGUUAGUUAUUUUGUGGAUGAAAUGUAUAUGAGGUUAUAAGUAUAAUGUUGGCUUAGUAUAUAUGUAACAUGUGCUUGUGUUUGAAGCCAUAGUAUAGCAUGGUAAAUGGAAUAAAAGCUUGGUAUGUGCUUGUGAAUUUAAGUUAAUGUUUUAAGUAUAUAUAUGAGAUAGGCCAAAUUGAUGAAUUUUGGCAUGUUUAUAAUUUGAAUUUGAAUGAUGUUUUAAUAAUAUAAAUUGAUUAAAUUUGGUACCAAUUAGGGUACAUUAGUUUGACACCUAGGAUGAUUAUUUUGACAUGAUUUGAAUGUGUUUGAUUGGUUUUUGACAUGAAUAUUAUAUGAUACGAAAUGUUUGAAAUUUUUGUCUGUUUGAUUGGUAAACUCCAAUAAUGCUCAAUAACCCAGUUCCGGUAAGGGAUACGAGUUGGGGGUGUUACAAUCAUCCAUGUCAAAGAGGGUUUUGCAACAAAUAAAACAGCUUCUCUUUGAAUUGUGUUAGGGAGUUGGUGGAAAAUAACCAUGAGAAGGAGCAGAAAAGGCAAAGAUUUAAAGGAUCUGGUGAGGAGAUGUUAGAUGUGAAAAUAUGAAGGGAUGGGGAAAACAAUGUGGAGAUGAAUCCAACAUUAAGCAAUUGUUGGAGCUGGAUAUAAUUAAUUCAACCCAGGAGUGGAAGAAUGCUUUUUGAAUCCCAGAAGAGGGAUAUGGGGAUAGUAAUUUGAAAUGUCAUAAUAGAAGAGAUUACAAGUGAAGUUUGGGAUUGGACAAUGUUUGUUUAAAUGUCACAAUGAAUAUGACAUUUCAUUUCUAGUUCUGUUACUAUUUCACUUUGAGAAGUUUUAGUAUGAUUAUGAAAUCAUUACAAACAUGUAUAUAGGGUUGGACAUUGCUUAAUGCUAGUUGGAUAUUUGGUGUAUAGAUGUUUUAAUGUUACUGCUAAGUUUGUUUGGUGUAUAGAUGUUUGAUAUUUUUCAUAUAUAUAAAAAUGUGAAUAAUUUUUGUUUUUGGAUAAA
Long non-coding RNA from Gossypium raimondii (Peruvian cotton), 4145 nucleotides. RefSeq lists it as uncharacterized. NCBI's taxonomy places the organism in Eukaryota, Viridiplantae, Streptophyta, Magnoliopsida, Malvales, Malvaceae. The transcript is spliced from 3 exons. The record is from RefSeq and is a predicted model, not a curated record.